Long non-coding RNA from Anolis carolinensis (green anole), 351 nucleotides. RefSeq lists it as uncharacterized. The record is from RefSeq and is a predicted model, not a curated record. The transcript is spliced from 2 exons. NCBI's taxonomy places the organism in Eukaryota, Metazoa, Chordata, Lepidosauria, Squamata, Anolidae.
UGGAGGUGUUGUCUUGGGAUUCUCUCCAAAAUAUUUCACAGCAUCAUCAAAGGCAUCCUGGAAGACAGACACUUUUCAAAAACAAGACACAACCUUGGCACUAGUAAAUAGGCCAAAAGGAGUCCCGAGUAGAAAAGCUUAAGAAGCCCUGGUCUAGGCAAUGCUUUGCUCUUUUUCAGCAUGACCUUCCUUAUAAGGAGAAGAAGGAAGAUAAAAGGAGCAACAACAUCUGGAAGGCCUCAUAUAUAUUCUAACUAAAUACACACCUUGAAAUGAUUCAGCCAAGUCCAUGAGGGUCUAUCCUACUGUUAAAACUGAUGUGCAUUAAACACACAUAUGCAUGUUUCUUUA